AACGGCUACCACAUCUAAGGAAGGCAGCAGGCGCGUAAAUUACCCAAUCCUGACUCAGGGAGGUAGUGACAAGAAAUAACAACCCGGGGGAUUCACAUCCUUACGGGAUUGCAAUGAGAACAAUUUAAAUCACUUAGCGAGGAUCAAUUGGAGGGCAAGUCUGGUGCCAGCAGCCGCGGUAAUUCCAGCUCCAAUAGUGUAUAUUAAAGUUGUUGCAGUUAAAAAGCUCGUAGUUGAACUUCUGGCAGCGUGCAGAUUUGGCUUCGGUCAGUCUGUUCGUUGUCAUCCGUCUGCAAACCUUGUACGUCCUUGAGUGGUUCGGUGAGGGGAGUAGACAUUUUACUUUGAAAAAAUUAGAGUGUUUCAAGCAGGCUUUUGCCAGAAUACUUUAGCAUGGAAUAAUGGAAUAGGACUCUUGUCCAUUUGGUUGGUUAUUGGACCGGAGUAAUGAUUAAUAGGGACAGUUGGGGGCAUUAGUAUUUAAUUGUCAGAGGUGAAAUUCAUGGAUUUAUUAAAGACUAACUUAUGCGAAAGCAUUUGCCAAGGAUGUUUUCAUUAAUCAAGAACGAAAGAUAGGGGAUCAAAGACGAUCAGAUACCCGUCCUAGUCUUAACUAUAAACGAUGUCGACUCGGGAUUGGAAAGGUAACUAUUAUCCUUUCCAGCACCGUAUGAGAAAUCAUUAAGUCUUUGGAUUCUGGGGGGAGUAUGGUCGCAAGGCUGAAACUUAAAGGAAUUGACGGAAGAGCACCACCAGGCGUGGGACCUGCGGCUUAAUUUGACUCAACACGGGAAAACUUAUUUCAGCAAAACAUGAGUGGGAUUGACAGAUUGAGAGCUCUUUCUUGAUUUUAUGGGGGGUGGUGCAUGGCCGUUCUUAGUUGGUGGAGUGAUUUGUCUGGUUAAUUCCGUUAACGAACGAGACCUUGACCUGCUAAAAUAGUCAAUCCGUGAGCAACGGGUUGUACUUCUUAGAGGGACUAUGGGUUACAAGCCCAUGGAAGUUUGAGGCAAUAACAGGUCUGUGAUGCCCAUAGAUGUUGAAAGCGGCACGCGCGUCAUACUGUCCUGUAACAGCAAGUUUCAUCCUCUCUUGGAAAAGUAGGGGUAAUCUAUAAAACAGGACGUGGUAGGGAUAGAUCUUUGGAAUUAUAGAUCUUGAACGAAGAAUGCCUAGUAAGUGCAAGUCAUCAACUUGUGCUGAUUACGUCCCUGUCCUUUGUACACACCGCCCGUCGCUCCUACCGAUUUCGAGCGAUAUGGUAAAUCUCCUGGACCGUGGGACUCCUCGUGGGUCUCGUGGAAAGUUUAGUAAACCUUAUCGCUUAGGGGAAGGAGAAGUCGUAACAAGGUAACC
Molecule: ribosomal RNA, 1356 nt
Filed under: uncultured ciliate
Lineage: Eukaryota; Ciliophora
Description: SSU rRNA
Rfam family: Eukaryotic small subunit ribosomal RNA
Source: RNAcentral